Long non-coding RNA from Sebastes umbrosus (honeycomb rockfish), 218 nucleotides. RefSeq lists it as uncharacterized. Lineage: Eukaryota; Metazoa; Chordata; Actinopteri; Perciformes; Sebastidae. The transcript is spliced from 2 exons. The record is from RefSeq and is a predicted model, not a curated record.
UGCCUCCAGAACCCUCAGAAGAGCAUAGACAUGUUAUAUUUUCCCAGAAGGAAAAUGCAGAAGCAACAGACUGGCGACCUGUCCUAAAUUCUUCCACAAUGUCUACUCUAAUAAGAAGAUUCUUCCUGAGACUCAGUGAAGAGCAAUGGAGGGAAGUAAGCGAGGGCAUUUACAAUGCAGAUGUGAAAAAGCAGCUGACUGAAAUGUGCACAGAUGUG